Long non-coding RNA from Cuculus canorus (common cuckoo), 332 nucleotides. RefSeq lists it as uncharacterized. The transcript has 4 exons. The record is from RefSeq and is a predicted model, not a curated record. Lineage: Eukaryota; Metazoa; Chordata; Aves; Cuculiformes; Cuculidae.
GAACCCGCAGCCCCCGGCCCUCCUUUCUGCCCGCCUCCCCGGGCGGGGAGAGCACCCGGUCCCGGCCGCCUCCUCCUCCUCCUCCCCGUCCCCUUCCCUGCCCUCCCGGUGCCGCUGCCAGGGCCGAAGCCGCGGCCUUUUUUCUUGGAUUUAAGUACUGGAAAACUCUCUAAUGACAACUUUGCUUAGGAGCUGAGCAUCGUGACCUGCCCUGCUCCUCCCUGCUUGGUGUGGGAACGACCUGAAGGACAUCUUGGAGUCACCUGUACUGCUUCAUGCAGUUAAAUGUUCUGAGGUCAUGAAACUUAAUCCACAGCAAGCUCCAUUAUAUG